CAGCCACCUACACACUAUUCCCGCAGUGAAGCUCCUGUUCACACCUCACUUCAGUUCUGAAUGCUUUAUGAUGGUGCACAGCAACACUGAUGGAAGAAGUGAAAUGCCUUUGUAUGUCCAGAAAUAGAAGCAUCUUCACCAUCCCUCCUUCCUAAGGUGGGAGCUUGUCCCAUUGCUCCCUCUCUGGAGCAUGUGCAUCAGCUGCCUUGAAAUCUGCUUUCUUUAUCUCCUGCAGACAUUACUAAAGCUCUGGGACACGAUGAAAGGGAUGCCAUCCAGAAGGACCUUAACAGGCUUGAGAGGUGGACCCACGCAAACCUCAGGAAGUAGUGACAAAGAAAAAAAUCAUCUGACUACUUCAUGUACUAGUGUUUGGGCUAAAUUUAAACCGUGAAAACCAUUAGGACACUAUAUUUAAAUUUGUAUCUCAGUCUUCUCCUUUCUUAAAAUAUACAAAGUGAAAAAGAAAAAAUGGUUAAAGGUAACACAUUAAUUAGUGGAGAUCAAUACAGCACAAAAGAUGAAAAUGAGGCAAAGGAAAACAAAAGCAUCAAGUACCAGAGGAAGAGGAAGCAAGCGUCAGAGGGAAGAAAAAAGCCUCUCAACAUUUACCCAGGAAUUUCCACAAUAUUUUUGAACAAGUAAUGAGACCUAUGAACAAA
This is a long non-coding RNA of Cygnus olor (mute swan), 662 nucleotides long. RefSeq lists it as uncharacterized. The transcript has 3 exons. NCBI's taxonomy places the organism in Eukaryota, Metazoa, Chordata, Aves, Anseriformes, Anatidae. The record is from RefSeq and is a predicted model, not a curated record.